AUGUUUAGAUUUGAAGCCAAGUGGUUGCAAGAGGAAGAAUGUCAGACAAUAGUGAAUAAUGCAUGGGCUAAAGCCUCACUCACAGGAGGUCAAAGCACUUCGGAGAUGUUAAAAGCAGUGGCACAUGACCUCCAAGACUGGGACUCUAAUGUCUUGGGUGACCUUCAGAAAAGAAUUAAGAAGGAACUAGAAAAUGUGAGAAGGCAGGACAUCAACAAAGAAUCGGUUGCCAGGGAACAUUUCCUCAGAGACAAACUAGAUCGGUUGGAACACCAAUGGGAUACUUUUUGGAGACAAAGGGCUCACGUCAAGUGGCUUCAAGCAGGGGAUAAAAAUACGGCUUUCUUCCAUGCCUUUGCAUCGAAAAGGAAGAAAAAGAACACCUUG
Molecule: ribosomal RNA, 387 nt
Filed under: Triticum aestivum (bread wheat)
Lineage: Eukaryota; Viridiplantae; Streptophyta; Magnoliopsida; Poales; Poaceae
Description: partial small subunit ribosomal RNA
Source: RNAcentral